This 352-nucleotide long non-coding RNA is filed under the name Mus pahari (shrew mouse). RNAcentral's name for it is "RIKEN cDNA C920021L13 gene (MGP_PahariEiJ_G0003488.1)". The record is from RNAcentral. Lineage: Eukaryota; Metazoa; Chordata; Mammalia; Rodentia; Muridae.
ACGCUGCAGGGCUCAGCCCGCUGCAGCUCCGCCUACGGUCUGACCUUGCGAAGGUUCGGUGCUGAGCGCAGGCGCUGGACUCUUCGACGGAGAGUCAAAGAAACAGCGUCCUCGCCUUCCUAUGGAGGAGUCGCGGUCGUCGGGUCCGCGAGAAGGGUCUAGGCUGGUCUGGAAGAAGAUGUGUAGCUGAGGAUGACCUUCCAUCAAUUUAUGAUCCUCCUGCCUUACCUCCCAGCUGCUGAGAUGACAUCCAUGUGUACCCAUGGCUCUGUGCAUACACUGCCAGCACUGUAUGGGCUACCUCCACAGCCAUAAAAUGCUAGCACUUUAAUAAAUUUUUAGCUAAUGGAAA